UACGUAGGGUGCAAGCGUUGUCCGGAAUUACUGGGCGUAAAGAGCUCGUAGGUGGUUUGUCACGUCGUCUGUGAAAUUCCACAGCUUAACUGUGGGCGUGCAGGCGAUACGGGCUGACCCGCCCUCCUGUAGGGGUAACUGGAAUUUCCUGGUGUAGCGGUGAAAUGCGCAGAUAUCAGGAGGAACACCGAUGGCGAAGGCCACAUAUACCUGGGCGAGUCACUGACGUCUGAGGAGCGAAA
Molecule: ribosomal RNA, 242 nt
Filed under: uncultured Actinomycetales bacterium
Lineage: Bacteria; Bacillati; Actinomycetota; Actinomycetes; Actinomycetales
Description: partial 16S ribosomal RNA
Rfam family: Bacterial small subunit ribosomal RNA
Source: RNAcentral